Molecule: ribosomal RNA, 475 nt
Filed under: uncultured bacterium
Lineage: Bacteria
Description: bacterial SSU rRNA
Rfam family: Bacterial small subunit ribosomal RNA
Source: RNAcentral
AACACAUGCAAGUCGAACGGGGUAGCAAUACCCAGUGGCAGACGGGUGAGUAACACGUGGUCAACCUACCUCUGUGUGGGGGAUAACUAGCCGAAAGGUUAGCUAAUACCGCAUACGAUCGUUUUGGGGCAUCUCGAGACGAUGAAAGGAGCAAUCCGCACGGAGAGGGGACUGCGUCCCAUUAGUUAGUUGGUGGGGUAACGGCCUACCAAGACUCCGAUGGGUAGCUGGCUUGAGAGAGCGACCAGCCACACUGGAACUGAGACACGGUCCAGACUCCUACGGGAGGCAGCAGUGAGGAAUUUUCCGCAAUGGGCGAAAGCCUGACGGAGCGACGCCGCGUGUGGGAAGAAGGCCUUCGGGUCGUAAACCACUGUCGGAGGGGACGAUAUUGACGGUACCCUUGGAGGAAGCCCCGGCUAACUACGUGCCCACAGCCGCGGUAAGACGUAGGGGGCAAGCGUUGUCCGGAAUU